GUCCACGCCGUAAACUAUGAGAGCUAGACGUUGGGGGGCUUGCCCCUCUGUGUCGCAGCUAACGCGUGAAGCUCUCCGCCUGGGGAGUACGGCCGCAAGGUUAAAACUCAAAGGAAUUGACGGGGGCCCCGCACAAGCGGUGGAGCAUGUGGUUUAAUUCGACGCAACGCGAAGAACCUUACCACCCCUUGACAUGGGAAGUAUGGGUUCCUGAAAGGGAAUCCUUCAGUUCGGCUGGCUUCCACACAGGUGCUGCAUGGCUGUCGU
This 267-nucleotide ribosomal RNA is filed under the name uncultured bacterium. RNAcentral's name for it is "partial 16S ribosomal RNA". It matches the Rfam family "Bacterial small subunit ribosomal RNA", at positions 793 to 1055 of the family's 1533-position model. The record is from RNAcentral.